GAUACGUAUUAUUGCCUCAGACAUGGCACAUCUUUGAGUGCAUAUGCUCUCUGAUUAUCAUCAUGGACUCUCCAGAAAAGUGACCCGGGUCAACCUUUGUUUGGAAGCAAGGAGGGGGGUCCUCCAUCUGACUUAUCAUCAGAAGACCAAUAAAAAUUACAUCACAGUGUUA
This is a long non-coding RNA of Suricata suricatta (meerkat), 172 nucleotides long. RefSeq lists it as uncharacterized. NCBI's taxonomy places the organism in Eukaryota, Metazoa, Chordata, Mammalia, Carnivora, Herpestidae. The record is from RefSeq and is a predicted model, not a curated record. The transcript is spliced from 2 exons.